AGUGGAGAUGCCAGGUCAAGGCAGUGCCUGGGGCACCCUCUUCCCCUGGAGCCUGCCUUGCUCUCAGUCAGAAGGCUCCUGCCCAGUCCAGUGGCUGGGAGCUUACUAAUCAUGGCCUUUCAAACCUCCUCCACAAGGCCAAGUUCAAAGGAGGCAGAGAGGAGGCUCAGGGAGACCCUGAAGGAGCAGAUGUUGACUUUGCCUGUCUGUCCUGGAGGAUGGAAACAAAAUGACUCUGAUGAAACCCAAGACAAGCAGAAUGAAGAAGCUGUGCCUGGUGGACCAGGAACUGUAGCCACCCACCACUGCGUAAUCAGACACCACCAUGCAGAAAUGGAGAGGGGAUACAGGAUCUUUUGGGGGUGAUGAAAAUGUCCAGGAAGCAGACGGUAGCAACAGUUGCUCAACAAUUCUGGAAGAACCAAUCAUCAUGAAUGUGUCUCACCAUACUGAGCCUGAAGCUCACCAAUUCAGGCAGACUGGCCGACCAGCAAGCCCCAAGGAUCCUGCCUCCAUCCCACCCGUCACUGGGAUUACAGGCAUAGGCCACCACACCCAUCUUUUAAAUGGGUGGUGAGGAUCUGAACUUGGGUCCCCAAGCUUGCGUAGCAAGCACUUUACCAACUGAAGCCACGGGCUCCGGAGAAAGAGCAGCCGGAAGAGGGUAUCUCCGCAGCUCAACACUCAGCCAGCAGGUCUCUUAGAGAGGGGUCUACACUAGGCGUCUGCUGCAGCUGGAACCCAUCCAAGUCGGGGAGACGGGAGUAGGGAGUGCUGAUACCGAAAGGCCUGGAGCAAUUGUGAGGACUUUGAUUCUUAAUCUGAGUCACAAGGGCAGUCAGGCGCUUUUGUGCAGAAUAUCAGAUCGUUUUCUCUACAAAGUAGCAAAGAAAAGAUCCCGGAGCUCUGUUCCCAGGGUCCACGGGAGCUCGAAACCCGAGAGUUAUUUGCCUUUGAUGUUGAGUCAAACCGGGAACAAGAGCCUCCUGGAGGAGCGCUGGGGAAGGGGUCACCCGUGUUAAGGAAACUUUAUAAAAACUGAAUAGGACAUUUAGCCCACGUGACUAAUUUCUCAGCUAAAGGCUUGAGCUCUGUUAAACUUGGGAGCAUCUAAGAUAACAAACAAUCCUGCACUCCGGGAAGAUUUGGGGCCAGAUCUAACCGGAGCGGAGAAUACCAUGGGAGCAUGCGUGCUUAUGCAAGAUGAAUAGCAAGCUGGGCCAUUGUGGCUCUAAAGUCUUGUAUGUAUAACCAGAUAAUGAGGCACAUGUUAAAAGGUUAGACACUAGCUUACAGGAUGGAUCAGUGGGUACAGACGCCUGCCACUCAGCCUGAUCCCCAGAACUCACAUGGUGAAAGAAAAGAAAGGACUCUGGAAGCAUUCUCCUCUGACCUCCACAUGCGUGCUGUGGCAAAUGUAGACACAUGACCCCUUCCCUAGCUCUCCUCCACACCCAAAAGCUGUCUGCUGACCUCCACACCUACUACAUGGAACCCAUGUGUCCACAUUCAUAGACAUACAUUUCAUAUGCAUACUCAGUAAUAAUAAGUAAAAUAGAUAGCUAAUAGCAAAAGUAACUCAGAUGUACAUCAAAAAAGAAUGGAUAAAGAAAGUGUGUAGCCAUACGGGAUCGACAGAGCAGGUACCAGGA
This is a long non-coding RNA of Mus musculus (house mouse), 1652 nucleotides long. RefSeq annotates it as predicted gene, 54311. The transcript is spliced from 4 exons. The record is from RefSeq and is a predicted model, not a curated record. Lineage: Eukaryota; Metazoa; Chordata; Mammalia; Rodentia; Muridae.